AGAGUUUGAUCCUGGCUCAGGAUGAACGUUGGCGGCGUGCCUAAUACAUGCAAGUCGAGCGAGAAGCUUUGAUUUCGGUUGAAGCGGAGAGUGGCGCACGGGUGAGUAACACAUGGCUGACCUGCCCUUCAGAGGGGGACAACCACUAGAAAUGGUGGCUAAUACCCCAUAUGCUCACGGAGUUUAGAAAUUUGUGAGGAAAAGCUGAGGCGCUGAAGGAGGGGGCUGUGGUCCAUCAGCUAGUUGGUGUGGUAAAGGCGCACCAAGGCGAAGACGGAUAGGGGGCCUGAGAGGGUGACCCCCCACAUGGGCACUGAGACACGGGCCCAACUCCUACGGGAGGCAGCAGUAAGGGAUAUUGCGACAAUGGACGAAAGUCUGACGCAGCAACGCCGCGUGUGGGAUGAAGGCCUUCGGGUUGUAAACCACUUUUCUGUGGGAAGAGGAAGGACGGUACCACAGGAAUAAGUCUCGGCUAACUACGUGCCAGCAGCCGCGGUAAAACGUAGGAGGCGAACGUUAUCCGGAUUUACUGGGUGUAAAGCGCGUGCAGGCGGAUGCGUAAGUCGUGCGUGAAAGCGCCCAGGCUCAACCGGGCGAGGACGUGCGAAACUGCGUGACUAGAGGUAGGUAGAGGCGUGUGGAAUUCCGGGUGUAGUGGUGAAAUGCGUAGAUAUCCGGAGGAACACCAGUGGCGAAGGCGACGCGCUGGACCUAACCUGACGCUAAGACGCGAAAGCAUGGGUAGCGAACGGGAUUAGAAACCCCGGUAGUCCAUGCCGUAAACGAUGCAUACUAGAUGUUGCGGUGAUGAGCUGCAGUGUCGAAGCAAACGUGAUAAGUAUGCCACCUGGGGACUACGGCCGCAAGGUUAAAACUCAAAGGAAUUGACGGGGGCCCGCACAAGCAGCGGAGCGUGUGGUUUAAUUCGAGCUACACGAAGAACCUUACCUGGGCUUGACAUAUAAGUGGUAGGGAAGCGAAAGCGGACCGACCUUCGGGAGCUUAUACAGGUGCUGCAUGGCUGUCGUCAGCUCGUGUCGUGAGAUGUCCGGUUAAGUCCGGUAACGAGCGCAACCCUCGCCGUUAGUUACAAGUGUCUAACGGGACUGCCCGUUGAACGCGGGAGGAAGGUGGGGAUGACGUCAAGUCAGCAUGGCCUUUAUGUCCAGGGCUACACACACGCUACAAUGGCCGGUACAAUGGGUCGCCAACCCGCGAGGGGGAGCAAAUCCAACAAAGCCGGUCUCAGUUCAGAUUGCAGGCUGAAACUCGCCUGCAUGAAGUCGGAGUUGCUAGUAACCGCAGGUCAGCUAUACUGCGGUGAAUACGUUCCCGGGCCUUGUACACACCGCCCGUCACC
Molecule: ribosomal RNA, 1363 nt
Filed under: metagenome
Description: bacterial SSU rRNA
Rfam family: Bacterial small subunit ribosomal RNA
Source: RNAcentral